GAUGAACGCUAGCUACAGGCUUAACACAUGCAAGUCGAGGGGCAGCAUGAAUCAAGCUUGCUUGAUUUGAUGGCGACCGGCGCACGGGUGCGUAACACGUAUCCAAUCUACCCAUGGCUCAGGGAUAGCCUUUUCGAAAGAAAGAUUAAUACCUGAUGGUUUCAUGAGCCCGCAUGGACUUAUGAAUAAAGAUUUAUCGGCGAUGGAUGAGGAUGCGUCCGAUUAGCUGUGGCGGGUAACGGCCCACCAAGGUCGACGAUCGGUAGGGGCUCUGAGAGGAGGAUCCCCACAUUGGAACUGAGACACGGUCCAAACUCCUACGGGAGGCAGCAGUGAGGAAUAUUGGUCAAUGGGCGAGAGCCUGAACCAGCCAAGUAGCGUGAGGGAUGACUGCCCUAUGGGUUGUAAACCUCUUUUGUUUGGGAAUAAAGUGAGCCACGUCGUGGCUUUUGUAUGUACCUUACGAAUAAGCAUCGGCUAAUUCCGUGCC
RNAcentral lists this ribosomal RNA (490 nucleotides) under uncultured bacterium. RNAcentral's name for it is "bacterial SSU rRNA". It matches the Rfam family "Bacterial small subunit ribosomal RNA", at positions 28 to 509 of the family's 1533-position model. The record is from RNAcentral.